This 236-nucleotide ribosomal RNA is filed under the name uncultured Staphylococcus sp. RNAcentral describes it as "partial 16S ribosomal RNA". It matches the Rfam family "Bacterial small subunit ribosomal RNA", at positions 104 to 334 of the family's 1533-position model. Lineage: Bacteria; Bacillati; Bacillota; Bacilli; Caryophanales; Staphylococcaceae. The record is from RNAcentral.
GGGUGAGUAACACGUGGAUAACCUACCCAUAAGACUGGGAUAACUUCGGGAAACCGGAGCUAAUACCGGAUAAUAUAUUGAACCGCAUGGUUCAAUAGUGAAAGACGGUUUUGCUGUCACUUAUAGAUGGAUCCGCGCCGCAUUAGCUAGUUGGUAAGGUAACGGCUUACCAAGGCAACGAUGCGUAGCCGACCUGAGAGGGUGAUCGGCCACACUGGAACUGAGACACGGUCCAG